This 4666-nucleotide long non-coding RNA is filed under the name Anneissia japonica. RNAcentral's name for it is "uncharacterized LOC117122935, transcript variant X3". Lineage: Eukaryota; Metazoa; Echinodermata; Crinoidea; Comatulida; Comatulidae. The record is from RNAcentral.
GUGUGACCAGCGGAGGAGGGUGUAAACAAAGAGAGACACAGCGGGUCUUACAAGUGGAUGUCAUACUGACGUCCAUGGAUACAAAACAAAUUUUAGCGCCAGUCAGGCAAUUUAUGCGCCAACACUCCAAAGAAUUGUUAUAUGCUUUUUUUUGGAAUUGAUUUAAAAACGUUAUUUGACUUUUGGCAUCUAUCUAAUCAUCCCCUGUCUUAUUUCAUUGCAUUUCAUUUUCAUUUCAUUUUCAUUUCAUUUAUUUAAAUACAACAACAUAUACAUCUACCUUAUUUUCUUAACAUGCACUUAAUCAGCACAUCGAUAGAAUAUAAUUAUUUCGUAGGUGUUAUUUUAUUAUUUUUAUUUUAUUAAAAAUAUUUUAUUAAUACUGUCGUAAUGUUAGUUUUAAUUUUUUUAAAAUCUUUAUUAUUUAUAAUUAUUAUUAUUUUUAUUACGUUAGGAAUCGCGUAAAUUUCGUAGACGCCAAUAGUCAAAUUUGAAAUAUUCACAUACAAAUACGAAACUAUUGAAAUUUUAUAUAAAAUUUUGCCAACUGGAGUCUUUCGGCGUUUGUGCCUUUUUAUCCUCCUUGACGUGCUGAUUUGAUGAACGCCAUCGCGUCUUCGAGCAUCCAAGCAUCAAUCAUAGUAAGAACUAACAUGUGCUGAAACCAAAAAGCUAAUAUACACAGGGCGGAUCCAGAGAUUUUCUGAAGGGGUGGGGAGUGGGGACACAAUAAGAAGUCCACGCCACUCCCACCUCGGCCCCACCAUGGUUGGUGAAAAUAAGUGGUAAAUAAUCUAGCUUUCCUUCGCCCACUGCUGAUCACCACUGAACUCAUGGGUGCACUGUCUUUUUUCAUCUUUCCUCUCUCUAACUCAAAUUUUUCUCCCUAUUUUUUAUUUUUUGGCUUGACUGAUGGGGGAGGGGCGGGAACGGGUCUCAUGCCCCCCCCCCCCCCCCGCUGGAUCCGUCCCAGAUAUAGAACUCUAUAUAAUACCUUUUUGGUUAAAAUGUGUUUCUUCCAUUUCUACUAACACACAGGUUUAGACAUUAGGCUUUUCUUUUUCAGGGCAACGAAGCUAAUAAUAAUUACGGCUGAUCUUGUUGAUAUUAUUCAAUGUUAAUACUGUAUAGCAUAUUUAGCUAGAUUUUAUAAUUGCAAACAAGGUUUAAUGAUUAUCGUAUCAUACAGAAUUGCGAUGAUAAUAUAGAUGAACCAUGGGUUCCAUGGAUAAACUUCCAAUAUAGGCCUUCUAAUUACCAUUAUAGGCCACUAGCUGUUACUAGAUGCUGAUAAUCUGACAACACUGCAUGUAGAUCAUAUAUUCUGCAAAAUUUUGACAACAUCAAUUUAUCAUAUAAACAGCAUCAAUUAGACUAUUUAUGAAUGUAUGUAUUAUGCAAAUUGAACUAACACUUAGACCGAUAUAGAAUAAGACAGUUGUUGUUUAAUUAUGUUGAUUAUAUGCAAAUGUAACUGGACCACAGGUAAGUUACUAACACAGCAAGACAUCGCUUCGAGCAUCCAAGCAUCAAACCAAGUAAGUCAACUAACCACAGGAUUGUUUGUGUAGAAGAAACAAUCAUACUAAUAUUGUACCCAAUGCCCAUCUUGUAAACCACUUUAUUUAAAUCAUAGUAUUUUUUAUUUAUUUAUUUUUUUAUUCGUUUCGAUAGUGGGUUAGGUCAGUAUUUUGAUAAUGAUAGCAGGUGCUGCCUCAAUGCGUCUUCAAUUGUAUACCUAUGAAAUUGUUACAAUAAAUCUGUACUGGUACAUUUGUACAAACAACUGUGUCUUGACUCCUUCUUUACAUUGGUAUCUGUGUCUUUUUUUUUUUAUCACAUUUAUGGUCAGCCCCUAGUCCUAUACCAAACAUUGUAUCCCUAUGAAUUUGUUUCAAUAAAUUGGUACAUCAGAACAUGCGUUUAUGUCUCGUUUAUUUAACAUCCUAAGACGUGUUUUUGUCUGAAUUUGUUAUGAAUUGUAAUUUUGUAAAUGUAAAACAAUAGUAAAUGAAAUUCAUUUACUAUUGUUAAAUUUCAGUGUAUGUAAAUCCAAGGUUUAUAAUAACUAAUAGUAUGUCUUUUAUUUCAGAAAUUUAAUACAUUUUGUUGUUCACAGACAGUAGCAAGGCGACAAAUACCUUGUGCAUCACAGGUCUUUGUCACCAUGCAAUGUGUGCGGAAUAAAUAAAUAUUAUUCGUUCAAUAGUAUUUUAUGAACUUUCGUUAGUUUAUUUCAUUUCAGAAGAAAACAAUCUGGUGAUUUUGAUAAUGAUACUUGAGGAAAUAUGCUAACCUACUGAUUGGCUGGCGGUACUUCUACCUAUCGACGUGGAAUGAAAGAAAAAUGAUGAUGAUGGUGAUUGUGAUGAUGACGGUAGCGAUGACUAUAAUAGUGACGUUUAAUGAAGAUUUUAAAUUUUUGUGUAGUGUAUUUGAGCUUUUUAACUGACUUUGAUUUUGACUGACUUUGCUAUUACAACAUACUAUAAAAUGACAAAUGAUGGUGAUGAGUGACGACAGCGAUGACGAUUAACGAUAAUGAAAUGGUGUAUCCAAACUUGCAAAGAAUAAAUCAAAUCAAUUUGCUAGGUGGACUCGGGCUUCUUCUCUGCUUCUUCUUCUAAUGGAGAAUUAUCGACAUAAAGUGCUCAUGAGGAUGAUGCGGAUAACGAGGAUGAUGACGAUAGAGAUGAUACUGAUGGUGAUGAUGAAAUGGUAGACCUGUGCUUGCAAAGUGGUUGAUAUGCAAAGCAGUAAAUGCUUGUGGACACUCCCCGACCUGACUUGAAUUUAGAGUGUGAUCGACUUAAAAACAAGGAAAUAUGUGGACGUCGAUGAUUAAUAAUGAUCGUAUGGUGAUGGACGGCUGAUUUUAAGAAAAAAACCCUGGAUUUCGAUAAUGAUUCUUGUGGAAAUAUGCUGUGAUUGGCUGGUGGUUCUUCUGCCGAUGGAUAAUUUAUUGACUUGAAUUGAAAACAAAAUGAACAGUGAUGAUGAUGAUGUAUACUUGUUCAUAUCGACAUGAAAUGAACAUUGAACGAAUACGAUGAUAUAAUUCAAGAUGAUAACUAGGAUGUUGUUGCUGAUAAGGAUGGCGAUAGAGCUGACGUUGAAACAAGCCAAAUAUGGACUGGAAAGGACGAUGACAACUAUAACGAUGAUGCGAAUAACGAGGAUGAUGGCGAUAGGGAUGGUACGGAUGGUGAUGAUGAUGAUGAAAUGGUAGACCUGUACUUGCAAAGUGGUCGAUACGCAAAUCAGUAAAUGCUUGUAGACAGUCCCCGACCUGACUGGAAUUUGGUGUGAUCGACUUAAAAACAAGAAAAUAUGUGCACGUCGAUGAUUAAUAAUGACCGUAUGAUAAUGGACGGCUUAUAUCAAGAAAAGAAAACCUGGUGAUUUCGAUAAUGAUGCUUGUGGAAAUAUUCUAUGAUUGGCUGGUGGUUCUUCUGCCGAUGGAUAUUUUAUUGACUUGAAUUGAAAAGAAAAUGAACAGUGACGAUGAUAAUGAUGAUUGUGAUGAUGAUGAUGAUGAUGAAAUGAACAUUGAACGAAUACGAUGAUAUAAUUCAUGAUGAUAACGAGGAUGUUGUUGCUGAUAAGGAUGGCGAUAGAGUUGACGUUAAAACAGUAACGACGAUUCUAAUUUUACAGUAGGCCCUACUUGAUAACUUGUAAUUGACUCUUGAAUCUUUACUCUGCUUAUCUUCCUAUCAUGGAUCCAAAUAUGGACUGGAAAGUUUGGGUGGUUCCUGAGAGCUUUAGUGAUUUGGGAUUUGAGCUGAUUAAGAGACUUUGCCAUUAGUACAACCUAAUAAAAAAAAUGACGAUAAUGGUGAUGAUUAAAACGGCAGCGUUGACUUUUUAGUGACUAUUAACGAUAAUGAAAUGGUGUAGGCCCUAACUAAACUUGCAAAUAUAAUUUUUAAGAUGAUGUGAAUGCAUGAAAGUUGACCUUGUUUUUCAAAGCGGCUUGGUGUUGUAAAAUGACCAGAGGGCUAUUGGGCUAUGCACAGGCUUAGACAUCUAUACAUUUUUAUAACAUAAAAUUUGUUUUCAUUUCAGAAAAGAAAUAAUAAGGAAUUACCGAUUUUCUGAUUAAAUCAUAUCAACGUGUUCCUUUUGACGGUGAAUAUCAACUUAAAGUGAGGACGAUGAUAAUUAUAACGAAUAUAAUCUUGUAUAUGAUGGCGAUAAAAUGUUAACGUCACGGUGACGAUGAAAUGGUAGACCAACUUGCAAAGCCCGACAGAAGUGGUUGAUAUGCAAGGCCUUGAAUACUUGUGAACUGCCGCCGACUUCAACCUACUGAAACUGUGUACCAUCGACUUAGAGGAAUCUACUGGUGGAUUAAAAGUUGAUUAUACUAAAGGAAUUUGGAACUGUGACCAACCUAAUAUCAGUAUGACAUAGAAAGCGAAUUUUGUUUUGUUUAUCAGCAGAAUAAUAUCAUUUCCGAAGGAAUAAGCCAAUCUGGUCGAUUUAAUUUAGAGAUGCCAUGUAUUUUUGAAAGUGUUAAGCAAUGCCUUAGUCAGAAUUUUUCGGGUGGACCCACUUUACGCGUAAAUUCAAAUAAUGUGAACCCAUUUUCUUAAAAUUUCACGCAAAAAACAUUUUAACACAAAAAUAUGAAAAAUCUGGACCCAUUUUCUUAAAGUUUGCC